AAGUCGUAACAAGGUUUCCGUAGGUGAACCUGCGGAAGGAUCAUUAAUAGAUUCUUUACUGAAUUCUUACCCCGUGUGAACUGUUACCAUUGCCUUGGCGUCAGUGAUGGCACCCUCCGGAUAGCAGGCUUGCCUGUUGUCCUGGGGUUGUCCUCUAGGCGUCAUCUUUUUUACCAACUUGACUAUAUGACCGAGUAUACCACAAAGGACUAGAAAACUUUUAGCAACGGAUCUCUAGGCUCUU
This 244-nucleotide unclassified non-coding RNA is filed under the name fungal sp. RNAcentral's name for it is "partial internal transcribed spacer region". The stretch from base 1 to 46 matches the Rfam family "Eukaryotic small subunit ribosomal RNA", at positions 1786 to 1831 of the family's 1831-position model. The record is from RNAcentral. Lineage: Eukaryota; Fungi.